GCGGACGUGGCGGAAUUGGCAGACGCGCAGGUCUCAGACUCCUGUGAAUCAAAAAAUUCUUGUGGGUUCAAGUCCCAUCGUCCGCACCA
Molecule: transfer RNA, 89 nt
Filed under: Clostridia bacterium
Lineage: Bacteria; Bacillati; Bacillota; Clostridia
Description: tRNA-Leu
Rfam family: tRNA
About the family: Transfer RNA (tRNA) molecules are approximately 80 nucleotides in length. Their secondary structure includes four short double-helical elements and three loops (D, anti-codon, and T loops).
Source: RNAcentral